GGGUGAGUAACACGUAUGCAACCUGCCCCUGUCAGGGGGACAACCCGCCGAAAGGCGGGCUAAACCCGCGUACAUGCCACCGGGGCAUCCCGGAGGCAGGAAAGGCUUCGGCCGGACAGGGAUGGGCAUGCGGCGCAUUAGGCAGUAGGCGGGGUAACGGCCCACCUAACCGACGAUGCGUAGGGGUUCUGAGAGGAAGGUCCCCCACACUGGUACUGAGACACGGACCAGACUCCUGCGGGAGGCAGCAGUGAGGAAUAUUGGUCAAUGGUCGGGAGACUGAACCAGCCAAGCCGCGUGAGGGAUGAAGGUACAGAGUAUCGUAAACCUCUUUUGUCAGGGAACAAAGGCGGGGACGUGUCCCCGGAUGAGUGUACCUGAAGAAAAAGCAUCGGCUAACUCCGUGCCAGCAGCCGCGGUAAUACGGAGGAUGCGAGCGUUAUCCGGAUUUAUUGGGUUUAAAGGGUGCGCAGGCGGUCUGUUAAGUCAGCGGUCAAAGCCCGGGGCUCAACCCCGGCCCGCCGUUGAAACUGGCAGUCUCGAGUUGGAGAGAAGUAUGCGGAAUGCGCGGUGUAGCGGUGAAAUGCAUAGAUAUCGCGCAGAACUCCGAUUGCGAAGGCAGCAUGCCGGCUCCACACUGACGCUGAGGCACGAAAGCGUGGGUAUCGAACAGGAUUAGAUACCCUGGUAGUCCACGCAGUAAACGAUG
RNAcentral lists this ribosomal RNA (709 nucleotides) under uncultured bacterium. Its description in RNAcentral is "bacterial SSU rRNA". It matches the Rfam family "Bacterial small subunit ribosomal RNA", at positions 104 to 811 of the family's 1533-position model. The record is from RNAcentral.